AAUAACUCCAACCAAUUUUAUACCCCAACCAAUUUUAUCAAUGAAAACUUCCUCAAAAACGUCACAUCAUAGGCUUUCUGGCGAUAUGAUUGGUUAAGGGAUUUGUGGCGCUAAUUUCUUUUACUACAUGAAGGAAAAAUCAAGAGUUGACGUCUCCCUCCACUAGAGGAAAAACAGCAGGAAGCACUAUGCAUCAUUGAUCUUGACGUCUCUAAAGGAGAAACUACUGGAUCAUCUGAGAUGGAGGGAGAGAAGUACGUGCAACUGGGGUGAAAGCAGCCGACUGCUGAUGGCAAAUAUGACCCCAAGGACCACGAUGGCAUGGACAUGGGACGUGGAUGGGUAGCUUCUGGAUGAAGAAGAAGACAAUGAUGUGGUACAGGAGGAGAUAAUCUCCCAUCAUCCUCAGCUGGCGUUGGAGUGGUGGAUCGCUAAGGGACCGACGGACGGCUUAUGUCGCCAGCUAGACAAGCAGUUUUCACGCAGGACGGCAUCUGGUUGAGCCCGGAGAAGGGGAGCAGACUGCGUGAUCCGGAACGCCACUGGCCACGACGACGCUGGGGAGAACAUUGGAAUAACGCUCAAUGACGACAGGCCACAGACUGCAGGCUGCCGGACCAGUGAUCAGUGUGGAAUUACACCUCCCUUACGCAACUGCCUUGGGGAGAGAGAAGUGUGGAGCUUUCCCCCCAUGUUGAGCUAAGUGGCCCUUCCCUUCCGUUUAGAGUUAUUAAUCGUAGUUUGAGUGUGGGUUUGCUUGUGCGUGAUUGGGGGGUAGUGUAACGUAGCGAGCAGAGCAUUGGAGCUUACGUGGGUAGCAGGUGGAGUAUAACUAGCAGGGGCUCCUUAAUAUAUAUUUAUUUGGGUAUGGGGAUCUAUUGUAUUAGGGUUUUGAGCCUCGUAAAUUCCUGUAGUGCCACCCGGUGUUCGUGUGUAGGGUUAAAGUUCCCCAAGUGCUGUAUGACAGAAGUGUGUGUGUGUUUGUCAUGUGUUCCAGCUUAGGCCUCCGGUAGACAGGAAAGGACUGGACUUUCUUCACGGUCGACAGUGGAUUAGGAGAGUGGAGGGCCAAAGAAUUGACAUUGGACUUUUUAAUUAUAUCAUCUAUGAGUACAGAAUUGUAAAAUAAAGACUUUUGUAUUUUCUUA
Alosa sapidissima (American shad) is the source of this 1148-nucleotide long non-coding RNA. RefSeq lists it as uncharacterized. The transcript has 3 exons. Lineage: Eukaryota; Metazoa; Chordata; Actinopteri; Clupeiformes; Clupeidae. The record is from RefSeq and is a predicted model, not a curated record.